Molecule: long non-coding RNA, 473 nt
Organism: Ictalurus punctatus (channel catfish)
Lineage: Eukaryota; Metazoa; Chordata; Actinopteri; Siluriformes; Ictaluridae
Source: Ensembl
UCUGUCUCUCUGUCUCUCUGUCUCUCUCUGGCCACCAGAAGGUGGAGCUGCAGCAUCUUAUCAGUAUACACACAAAAUGGACAAAACAUGACUUCUUUUAACCGGAGUGUUAAUCCAGCAGCGGAUGAGACGCAGCACGGAGCACGCAGAAGUAAAAAACAGGAAGAGUGACGGAGUGUAUAGGUGCGAGCAGUGACAUUAGGAAUGUCUCCUCUGGUUUUAAUGCACCGUUGCCCGUCGGUGGAGGAUGCAGGCUAAAGCUCGGCACACAUGAAGCCCAUUUACCGUCAUCCUCGCAUCUGUUCUCACUAAUCCCCUCCAGACGUAACAAUAUGUUCUCCAAUAAGAUUAUGAUUGCUCAAUAAGCCUUAUCUAUGUAAUUCAGAAAACAUAUACCGCUUUAAACCAGCUCGCUAGAUUAGAGCAGUUUGGAGCUAAUCUGGAGUCAGUCUGGAGUCAAUCUGUGCUGCUGG